GGUAAGAUGGCCGAAUGUAAGGCGGUAGGCUGUAGACCUAUUUAUAGGGGUUCAAUUCCUCUUUUUACCA
RNAcentral lists this transfer RNA (70 nucleotides) under Sceloporus olivaceus. Its description in RNAcentral is "tRNA-Tyr". It matches the Rfam family "tRNA". From Rfam's summary of the family: Transfer RNA (tRNA) molecules are approximately 80 nucleotides in length. Lineage: Eukaryota; Metazoa; Chordata; Lepidosauria; Squamata; Phrynosomatidae. The record is from RNAcentral.